Molecule: ribosomal RNA, 484 nt
Filed under: uncultured bacterium
Lineage: Bacteria
Description: partial 16S ribosomal RNA
Rfam family: Bacterial small subunit ribosomal RNA
Source: RNAcentral
AUUGAACGCUGGCGGCAGGCCUAACACAUGCAAGUCGAGCGGAUGAAGGGAGCUUGCUCCUGGAUUCAGCGGCGGACGGGUGAGUAAUGCCUAGGAAUCUGCCUGGUAGUGGGGGAUAACGUCCGGAAACGGGCGCUAAUACCGCAUACGUCCUGAGGGAGAAAGUGGGGGAUCUUCGGACCUCACGCUAUCAGAUGAGCCUAGGUCGGAUUAGCUAGUUGGUGGGGUAAAGGCCUACCAAGGCGACGAUCCGUAACUGGUCUGAGAGGAUGAUCAGUCACACUGGAACUGGGACACGGUCCAGACUCCUACGGGAGGCAGCAGUGGGGAAUAUUGGACAAUGGGCGAAAGCCUGAUCCAGCCAUGCCGCGUGUGUGAAGAAGGUCUUCGGAUUGUAAAGCACUUUAAGUUGGGAGGAAGGGCAGUAAGUUAAUACCUUGCUGUUUUGACGUUACCAACAGAAUAAGCACCGGCUAAUUUCGUG